Molecule: long non-coding RNA, 3854 nt
Filed under: Bemisia tabaci
Lineage: Eukaryota; Metazoa; Arthropoda; Insecta; Hemiptera; Aleyrodidae
Description: lncRNA ENSSWEETPG002053
Source: RNAcentral
GGAAGGGGCCAAAGCACGUCACCAAAUUCAAUUGAUGUAAAUUACACUGGUGGGCGUUCCCCUUCCUCUGAAUAAUUAAUUUCAUGCACAAUUAUUUCCAGGUCAUCGUCAUAGUGGUUGCCAUCGUGGCUAAAACCUUUUAAUUUUUGAGAACCCAACCGAAAAGGACUCGAACGUAAGAAAGAAGAAAUAAAAUAUCUGUAGUUCCUGAAAUCAAUGGAAAAGAGCUCUGUAUUUGUUAGGUUGGUCCCCCUUGGUCUCGGUGUCAAUUGUCGACUGAUUUUCGCGAGUGAAGUGCGGCCUAGGAAUUACGGUUUCAGGAUUUCUUCAGCGCCAAAAUUUUACGAAGAUAUUUCCACGGACAGUUUUUAGAAUUCUACAUUAAUUUUGAAAGACUAUCGUUUCAAAAUCAUCCGGAAGACAACCAAGCUCUGAAAUGUCCUGCUUUGAUACUUGAAAUUCCAUUCGUUGCAGUUACAUACCUGUCAUGGAGAGAGUGUUUUGAGAUCAUCGCCAGGCUUGAAGUCGAAGGUGAAAAUUUGGCCCACUUCGACAAUGGCCGGUCACCCAGUGCCAGAUUUAAUGCAAGGUGAAGGAGAGGAAGAGCUGAAAAACGCUAUUUUAAGCGCAAAACCUCCAACCGCCAUCCGAGUUAGCAGAGCUAAUGCUGAUUCAAAUAAUGCCCAAGAGAAUGGUGAUCGUCAGUUGUCUUAUGUGAAUUUGGCUCGUUGUUUGACGGGUUACACGGAUUUGACCAGAUAUAACAGCCGCCUUAGAGAAGUCUUAGAUCGCGUGAAGCAAGCCCAGCUCGUUUUAUUCUUGAUACCUCAACUCACAGUACCAAAGAUAUGUCUUGUUUGCCUCCUUCAAUGAAUCCAUUAAACCCACCACGGAAAGGACAGAAACAUGUACCUCGUCUACGGAAACAGUCACAAGUCAUUCAUCGAGCAGCGAAUUGCACGAUUGUACGGUUCCUCGGCUGUUCAACGGAAAGUCCCCAGUCCACAGCCAAAGAACUCAGAGGUAAGGUUCACCUUGUGAUUUUCCUAGUUAUUUUAUUAUCCAAAAAACAUAAAAAACUAGAUUCAUAGGGAUGAAAUUAGUCAGAUAAAUACAAGUCUCAUCAAAAAAUUAGUUUGCUGAAUGGUUAUCAGAAAUUUAAUGUCAAAACGACGAAGUUUGGAACUAAAGCAGCACUCAUUUUUUCAAAUUGGUGUACUGGGUGAGUUUAUCAUUAACGAAUGUGAACUCCUAAUCCACCACUCUUCUAAUGCACAAAUUGUACCACAAUUAAAGGCUUGAUUAACAUAAUUAACAAUGCCAUUGAUAAAAUCUCUCAGUUAAGAGGAGAGGAGAGGAAGGAGAGGAUGUCUGUGUGUCCAAAAAUUUCAGCUGUAUCUGCAAUUAUAAGGCAGGCCUGUGAUUCAGAAAUUUACAUAAUCCUGCUGGGAAUGUUUUUUAGUAGGCUAUUAGAAAAUGACAAGCAGCCCCACAAUAUUUACUAAACAUUUGUAUGCGAACAUGCUCGUUAUGGGUUUGUAAAAUUCUAAAGUAACUGUUUAGAGGUGAUCGUACCUAGUUUCAAUGAAACAAAAGUAGAAGCAAAUCAGAGUAUGAACAGGUCUUGAAAGCAUGGAACUGUCUGGGAAUUUUAUGAAGAAAAGUGGAAGUUUGAAAAAUCUUGAAACUUGAAAUCUGAAGAAAAUCAGUGAUGUCACAAGGUUUUGAAGUCCAAUGCUCUGGGUUACAUUCUGAUAAAGGAAGAGAGAAAUAAUUUUCAAGGAAAAAUUGAAAUUUUAGUUAGCUGAACAAUUAAUAUCUUCAGAAAAAAGUUUGUCGUGUUUCUGUCAUUAGCGUUUUCAUUUUCGGUUGUACGCACGCAAAUUGCCAUAGUUAUAAAAUCAGGGAGAAUUUUCAUCAAUUUAGUGAGAGAAAAUCUGAAAAAAAUCAGAGAAUGUCUUCGCUCCGAGUCUGUAGAUAUCCUGUAAGUUACUGAAGCUGAUUUGGAUAAUGAUGUGGUAUAGUAGUUAAUAAGUUAUAGAAUUCAAACAAUAAAGCUGUGAAAGUACAAGUAUAUGACUCUAGAAGCCUGUGUCUUCUCUUUAUUUUUCAGCAGGAGGUAGCAGCGUCAACUGAAAACAGUAAUGAUAAUUUGCCUGUCAUGAAAUUACUUAGACCCGAAUUCUUGGCACAGUUUCAAUUUAGAUCUUCCAAAAGUCCUAUGACUAAGUACAGGUAUGUUUAAAUAUAAAUUUCUUGUAUACAUUAAUAGUUAAAAGGGAGCUUUCCUGAAAAUGGUAGUUUAGAGAAAAGUUUGUCUCACUCUUCCAAAGAAUGGAGUAUCUCAUUAUUUUAUGGCAAUCGAGUUUACUUCUCCAUCAUUUGGUGAAUUACGUAAAGCAAGCAGUGAGAACUGUAAGUGAAGUUGAUGAUUGUGAUUCAAUCAAUCAUCAAAAAAUGAAAGAGUAUUAUUUUUACUGUCAAGUUUUCAUAAGGGGCAUUACAAAUAUUAUGUAAGCCACUUGGGGGUAGAACUUGCCUCACAGGGUCUUACAAGAGGGAACUACAGCUCAGUUAUACGUUAGUCAAUAUUUUUCAAGAAAAAUAUUCUUUUUAGCUAGGUAUUUUUCAGGCUUUCUCAGUUAUUGUAAAAAAAUUUGGAGGAAGGGUCAGGUCAAUCUUUCAUAAAUUGUUAGGAAGAUGACACGGUGCCUUGGAAGAAAGGGGAGUUAAAACAUAGAUCAAAAUUGUUUACGCACUUGAAUGGCCCCAUUGAUCUAUGAACUUCCUUCUCUGAAAUUCACCAUUGUCCCUUUUAAUGAGUUAGUACAUCCACUGUAUUAUUCAAUGCUUCUAUUAUUUUGUCAAAUCCAUAAUUUUAUUCUGUCAGCUUGAUUUCUUCUUUGUGUAAAAGAAUUUGAUGAAUUUUCUUUGUUACAGCUCGCGGACAUCAAGAGCAAGGUUGGAAGAAAUGGCCAACAGUCGCGUAUACCAAAUGGCAAUAGUUUAGAUAGUAGUAUAGUUAGUGUAGCUGUUUCAAAUGGAGAUUCUAAUAAAAAUAAUGAACCUACCAAAAUUACCAAUGGAGACAGCGUUGAUGGAACGGCUGUGAAAACGAAGAAUAUACCUGUGAAAUUAUUUUCUAAUUUAGCUGAGGAAAAAAAUGGCCACUAUUACUUAAAGGUUCGUUCUACCUAUCUCUCUUAAAUAAUUCCACCUUCCUAUCUCAGAUUUAUUUGUAUCAAGUCACUUAUUGACGGUGAAACUCUCGAACCACAUAUCUCGCUUGCAGGAUUUCAAAAUGUAUGCUCCUAUUUUUUUGUUGAAGGAUAACAAAUCAACAGUAUUCCUCAAAGUUAUCACAGAAUUUUCUUGACACAAAGAAGAAAAAUCUCGGAAGUCAUAAAGAACUGACAUUGAGCAGUUUUCCUCUUAAAAAAAAUAAAGUUUGACAGGUCCUUUGCCUUGUCUCCAACUCAGAUACAUUUUUUGGAAGUUUCACCGCUGAUAUAUUUGUCGUAGGCCCAGCGGUCACACAAUCAUGAUUGCAUUAUUGGGAAGUUUCUACACCCAUGGUUCAGUGACAGUGGCCUCUCUCGUCAGUAGACCCUGUUCAAGGUUCUUAGGACAAGUUGCGAACACCCAGAAAAAAUUACUUAUAGUCCACGCCACGAAAAGUGGCGGGUGAGGGGCGGAGCCAGUCGGCCGGUCCAGUCUAUCGUUGAAGGGUUGAAGCGCAGAUAUUGGCCCGUGGUUGAGCGACGACCGGCCAGGGUAAGUUCACACUGAGCGCGCCUUGAUCCCGGCGCCCGGCGUGGCAUCCAGCGUGGCGAGCCGCGUCGCGUAUUCUCCCC